RNAcentral lists this ribosomal RNA (497 nucleotides) under uncultured bacterium. Its description in RNAcentral is "partial 16S ribosomal RNA". It matches the Rfam family "Bacterial small subunit ribosomal RNA", at positions 28 to 507 of the family's 1533-position model. The record is from RNAcentral.
GAUGAACGCUGGCGGCGUGCCUAAUACAUGCAAGUCGAGCGAACAGACGAGGAGCUUGCUCCUCUGACGUUAGCGGCGGACGGGUGAGUAACACGUGGAUAACCUACCUAUAAGACUGGGAUAACUUCGGGAAACCGGAGCUAAUACCGGAUAAUAUAUUGAACCGCAUGGUUCAAUAGUGAAAGACGGUUUUGCUAUCACUUAUAGAUGGAUCCGCGCCGCAUUAGCUAGUUGGUAAGGUAACGGCUUACCAAGGCAACGAUGCGUAGCCGACCUGAGAGGGUGAUCGGCCACACUGGAACUGAGACACGGUCCAGACUCCUACGGGAGGCAGCAGUAGGGAAUCUUCCGCAAUGGGCGAAAGCCUGACGGAGCAACGCCGCGUGAGUGAUGAAGGUCUUCGGAUCGUAAAACUCUGUUAUUAGGGAGGAACAAAUGUGUAAGUAACUAUGCACGUCUUGACGGUACCUAAUCAGAAAGCCACGGCUAACUACGUG